RNAcentral lists this ribosomal RNA (253 nucleotides) under uncultured prokaryote. RNAcentral describes it as "partial 16S ribosomal RNA". It matches the Rfam family "Bacterial small subunit ribosomal RNA", at positions 525 to 777 of the family's 1533-position model. The record is from RNAcentral.
ACAGAGGGAGCGAGCGUUGUCCGGAAUCACUGGGCGUAAAGGGCGCGUAGGUGGCUCUAUAAGUCGGGGGUGAAAUGCUGCGGCUCAACCGCAGCGCUGCCUCCGAGACUGUAGGGCUCGAGCACGGUAGAGGCCGAUGGAAUUCCCGGUGUAGCGGUGGAAUGCGUAGAGAUCGGGAAGAACAUCAGUGGCGAAGGCGGCCUGCUGGGCUGUUGCUGACGCUGAGGCGCGACAGCGUGGGGAGCAAACAGGA